UCAGCGGGGAAAGAAGACCCUGUUGAGCUUGACUCCAGUCUGGCAUUGUUCGGAGACAUGCCGAGGUGUAGCAUAAGUGGGAGUCGGGGAUCCAUACGUGGUUCUAACCGACUACCGUACUCCGACGCCUUUGAAAUACCACUACUCGCAUCGUUUCCUUACUUACUCGGUGAUGCGGAGCGCGUGUUGUUCGGUCCGUGGCUUCGGCCGGAGUCGUCCUGUCCGAUAUUGGCGGGCGUCUUUGCGUAUUCGACUUUGACGAGCCUCGCUGACGGCCGAUUUUCGGUAGUUGUUCGCGCGCUUGUACGCGGCCGUUACAUUCGCCUUCGCGGUGUUUGCAAUGUGUCGCUGCUUGCGUCGCGUCUCUAUCGAGUCGUCGUUUAGUCGGGGAUACACUUGUCAUUGAAGAAGCCAAUGGGUGUCCGUCUAUCGGCUCGGCUUCGCGUUCGAGCCCGUCGUGGCCGGCAAUCACGAUCGGUUCCCAGUCGUAUUAAGCGCAAUCGCGUCGCCUGUUAGUUCUCCCAGUCACCGGUCGUCUGCGCGCUUUCGAACGUGCAGUCGGUCGCCUGGGAAACCUGGCGUCGUUGCGUGAUCCGAUCCGAGGACACCGCCAGGUGGGGAGUUUGACUGGGGCGGUACAUCUGUCAAAGAAUAACGCAGGUGUCCUAAGGCCAGCUCAGCGAGGACGGAAACCUCGCGUAGAGCAAAAGGGCAAAAGCUGGCUUGAUCCCGGACGCCCAGUACGCGUAGGGACUGCGAAAGCAUCGGCCUCUCGAUCCUCUCGUCU
RNAcentral lists this ribosomal RNA (787 nucleotides) under Nodulicoccus levis. RNAcentral describes it as "partial 28S ribosomal RNA". It matches the Rfam family "Eukaryotic large subunit ribosomal RNA", at positions 2394 to 2782 of the family's 3401-position model. The record is from RNAcentral. Lineage: Eukaryota; Metazoa; Arthropoda; Insecta; Hemiptera; Monophlebidae.